AAAUCCCCUUUGUGGCCCAUCACAUACCUAAUUCUUGCUACUCAUUCCAUCUUUCACCAUCGAAGUUGACCCAUGAAACCAAUGUUCAUGGUCCUCAAGCAUGGCGUCUGUAGAAUCAUUCGUCUUCAUCAAGCACGACGACCAAGCACGAUUCAUCUUCCUCAAGCACUAUUUUUCUUCCCAAGCA
This is a long non-coding RNA of Juglans microcarpa x Juglans regia, 187 nucleotides long. RefSeq lists it as uncharacterized. NCBI's taxonomy places the organism in Eukaryota, Viridiplantae, Streptophyta, Magnoliopsida, Fagales, Juglandaceae. The transcript has 3 exons. The record is from RefSeq and is a predicted model, not a curated record.